UCUACGGGAGGCAGCAGUGGGGAAUAUUUGGCAAUGGGCGCAAGCCUGACCCAGCACCGCCGCGUGAAGGAAGAAGGUUUUCGGGUUGUUAACUUCUUUUGUCAGGGAAGAGUAGAAGACGGUACCUGCCGAAUAAGCCACGGCUCACUACGUGCCAGCAGCCGCGGUAAUUCGUAGGUGGCACGCGUGGUCCGGAUGUACUGGGUGUAAAGGGCGUGUAGCCGGGUUGACAAGGCAGAUGUGAAAUCCUUCGGCUUAAACGCAGAACUGCAUUUGAAACUGUUGAACUUGAGUGCAGAAGAGGAGUGUGGAACUCGAGGUGUAGCGGUGGAAUGCGUAGAUAGAUGGAAGAACACCAGUGGCGAAGGCGGGUUCCUGGACAUUAACUGACGCUGAGGCACGAAGGCCAGGGGAGCGAAAGGGAUUAGAUACCCGGGUAGUC
Molecule: ribosomal RNA, 442 nt
Filed under: uncultured bacterium
Lineage: Bacteria
Description: partial 16S ribosomal RNA
Rfam family: Bacterial small subunit ribosomal RNA
Source: RNAcentral